Long non-coding RNA from Dreissena polymorpha, 246 nucleotides. RefSeq lists it as uncharacterized. The transcript is spliced from 3 exons. The record is from RefSeq and is a predicted model, not a curated record. Lineage: Eukaryota; Metazoa; Mollusca; Bivalvia; Myida; Dreissenidae.
CGGAGUUCAGAGCGGGAAGAAGUAUUCUUCGGACAUUUUUUUCACGUUCAGAAUUCGUUAGUUUUAUCUUCUUUGUUAUACAGUUUCACCAAUGGACGAACGAGGCAUGAUUGGAUUGUGUGAGUGAAGAGAUAGUAUUCAGAACCACAUUUUGAUUGCGGAAUCUCUUCAUUCAAGGUGUACUUUAGUAUCGGUGUAUAAUUAACGUAUGCUAUUUAUAGUGAACUUAUUAAAUAUUUUAAAAUA